Clupea harengus (Atlantic herring) is the source of this 393-nucleotide non-coding RNA. The record is from the annotation of a RefSeq genome assembly. NCBI's taxonomy places the organism in Eukaryota, Metazoa, Chordata, Actinopteri, Clupeiformes, Clupeidae.
AUGUCCCUAUCAUCUGUGCUACUGUUGUUGGGUGCUGCAUUCAGUGUUCAUUCAUUCGAGCUCACUCAGCCAGCAUCACUGACUCUCCAGCCAGGUAACAGCUUGGCCAUCAACUGUAAAGUGUCCUAUUCAGUUACCAGUUAUGGCACAGCUUGGAUUCGACAGCCAUCAGGGAAAGCUCUGGAGUGGAUCAAUAUCAUCUGGAGUGGUGGUAGCACAGCAAAUAAAGACUCACUGAAAAACAAGUUCAGUGUCUCCAGAGACACCUCCAGUUACACAGUCACCCUGCAAGGCCAGAAUCUGCAGGCUGAAGACACAGCUGUGUAUUACUGUGCUCGUUACCCACAGCAUAACAAUAAGCUACAAUGCUGUACCAAAACCUCCCACACAUAG